Molecule: long non-coding RNA, 353 nt
Filed under: Rhinopithecus bieti (black snub-nosed monkey)
Lineage: Eukaryota; Metazoa; Chordata; Mammalia; Primates; Cercopithecidae
Description: lncRNA (ENSRBIG00000045135.1)
Source: RNAcentral
CAAGGAGGAAAGAAAAUAUAUGAAAAUGUAUGAUCAAAUUUCAUGAAAAAUUAAAAUUUCCAGCCUAAAUGGAUGUCUUCAGAGAGCCUGAAAAAAACUACUGCAUCUCUGAACCACAGCUUGUGAGCAGGAUGAGAGAGCAGAAGAAUUCAUCCAACAUCUAUUUCUCCUGGUAUAAGUUCACUGACAGGACCCACUGUUUGUAUAUCACAGCUUGCCAGUAGUGCUGGUUCAGCCACUAUUUGGAGUGAACAGGGGAAAGAAACUAAGGUUAAGCUGUGAGAAAGUGUCCCAAGACUACUUCUGAAUUCUGCUACUCCUGUAAUCUGUUCUAGUGGCUUGGCACAUAUCCA